CCCGCCCGGGCCCGGGGCGCUACCUCGGCCCGGCGUCCUGCCGCCCCGCUUCUCCGCGCCCCGCACCCGGGGACAGCCGGGCGGGGCACGGAGGACACUUCCAACCUUCUCGUCCAGAGGAAGGGACUGUGGGGCGCCCCCCUCCCCGCCCCCACCCUGGGGAAAUGAAAGUGACGCCAGCGGGUGUUCGACGGAGCGUCGGGGCCGUCUGGGGUUCUGAGUGGAUUCCAGCUUCUUUGGGCAGCAGGGGCGCGCCCCCAACCCCACUCUUGCCCAGCGUCGGUCUCCCCCGGUCCGGGAGUCGUGCGCUAGGUGGGGGGUGGCGUGGAUUUUCAGGCACAGCGCGGCUUGCUCUGGAAAAAUGCCCCGGUGCGUGGAUGGAUUCAGAACCCGGGGAUGAAGUCAGUGGUUAAAUACGACCGGGUUCCAGAGUUUUUAAACUUGGCUUCCUGAUUUGGAACAUAAUUCAAUGAACAGGCAGGCAACUGCUUGUCAAGUUCAGGCAUCAGGCAGAAAUCUAAGGACCCCACCGAAGAGGAAGCAGGAGAGGACAUGAGAGAAAGAAACUGUAUUCACCAACCCAUUUCGGGAAAGCGUCUCUCAUUCUUCUUAGACUCCACCAUCAGAAAAGUCAACAGUUUGUAAUAAGUAAAUUUGAAUCCGGGUUUUCUGUUUCUUUAAUGCCCGUCCUGGCUUGACCUUGCAGCUUGACAAAGUCCCAAAGGAAAAGUAAAAAUCAACAACUAAAUCAAAAUCAAAUCAGGUCCUCCCUGAAAAAAAAAAAAAAAAAAAAACAUUCUGAGAGAUUGGAAGUAAACAGUUCUUCCCACAGUCCCAACUCCAUGACCUAAAUGCCAUCAUCAUUCCAAAAGGCAUUUCCAAAAGACACAGGAACAUCCAGGGCAGAGAAGCGGGUGUGUGGUCUCCCUCCUAUCUCUACUUAUAAAUUGGCUUAAUAUUUAAGUUAUCUGCCUGCAUGUAGCAUCUAUUAACCAUUGCACCAAGCAAGAUUUGCAGACUCGCUCCUUAU
Molecule: long non-coding RNA, 1030 nt
Organism: Panthera uncia (snow leopard)
Lineage: Eukaryota; Metazoa; Chordata; Mammalia; Carnivora; Felidae
Exons: 3
Source: RefSeq, a predicted model, not a curated record